RNAcentral lists this long non-coding RNA (2482 nucleotides) under Nicotiana benthamiana. RNAcentral's name for it is "long non-coding RNA (NBEN_LNC005067)". Lineage: Eukaryota; Viridiplantae; Streptophyta; Magnoliopsida; Solanales; Solanaceae. The record is from RNAcentral.
AUGAAUUUAAAAAUUAGAAUGCAGAAAGUCAUAAAUAUUCUAUAGGCAAGUUUUCUGCCCUUUUCAUGCAUUCAUACACAUCCCUUUCCACUACCAUCCCCAAUAGUAAUUAAAAAUUAUUACAAAUCCGAAUGAAUGAGAAAAAGAGUAAAAUUACAUCAAAAGUUCAAGCUACAUCCAAACAGCCUAAUUCAAACUCAAAGUCUAACAAUAUGAGAUAAACUAACUUCCUUGAUCAGAUUUCCAAAAGCAUUUCUUAUAUUUGGGAUGUGUAAAAGUUUCUAAGAGUCUCAAGGGACUCAGGGCAGAUCUUACACCACAAACACAUUUGCAGAAUAGAUUAUAGUGCAGUGUGGAAGAGCCAAACCUCAAAUGUCCAAGUUUAGAUGGAACUUAGGGUCCCAAAGCAUCGCUCAUAGGAGGAGAACAGAGCUUAGAAUCGAAGAGUAAGUAUAAGUGCAUAAGGGGGUAAUCAAGAAAGCCAUGGCAGGCUGGUGGUCAUGCCCAGCAAUUAGGAAUGCUGGCACAUCCAUGGCCAGCCUUUUAUUGUACAAGAACCUUAACUCAAACACAUAGAAAGGAAUAGGGGUAGGGAUUCAAGGUAGAAAUAAAUGCCAGGAAAAAACAUACUCAACAUAAAUCAUUGAACAUGAGUAGUAAAGUAAAUAAGAAUUCUAGAACUCUAAGGUAAACACAUAGGGGUGACGCAGAAGAUUAAAUCAAACACAUACCAAUUUCAGGGGAGAAAACGUAAAAAAAAAAAAAGAAGCCAAGUUACAAGUAAAGCAGCACCAAAAGCUCUCAGCAAAGCAGAUUGUUGAAAGAAUAUUGACUUUAGAACAGUAGUGUAAGUAUUGAAUUGAAAGUUUUAAAGAAUGGUAGUGUGAAGAUCGUGUGGUGAACUUGAAGUGUGAAGAUGCAGUUGCAAGGUGUAAAGUCUGGUGUUUAAAAGAACAUAAGGGCAGUCCCUUUUAUAGUGUAGAGAAGCAAGUAAGAAAGUCAAGGAAAUAUCAUUGGAAUCAGUCUCCCUUUGGUUAAGGGAUUCUGAUUCCAACGGCUAAAAGCCAGUUAAGGAAAGAAAUUUUGAUUAAGACCUUUCAAAGUAGCACAAAAGAGGUAAAUACACAGAACUUAUUUAAGGAUAAUAGUCAACAGUUUACGGUUUGUACCAAAUAUGGUAAGGGAAUCAAUCAACGACCCGUAAACCAAGAUUAUAAGUUUAAUUUUGAAUGAACCAAGUUAAGAAAGGUAAAAGGAGGUUCAAUCGAAGAAAAUCAGUGAUAAUUCAUUAGCCCUAUUAAAAAGAUUUCAGAAUCAAUCACUUAGUUUGUAAAAAUAUUUUGAAAGAGGAAUUUCUCGUAUAUAAAGCAUACCAAUCAAACAAAGGGAACUAUCAGGUUAUUUAGAAAAAGAGUUUAUCAUUGAAAGACUUAGAGUCACAAGUAAAAAGAAAUUCAAGUUCAGUUACACACUCAUCGUGAGUCCAAAAGUUUAGGGUCCCAAAGUGGAACCCUAAUACCAUUUGCCAAAGAAACCCCCAAAUCCUAGGGUUUCAAAUUGAGUUAGGAAAUAGAGAAGAGCAAUCAGGUCAUUGAAUCAGACUCAGAAGACUCUUCCAAAAACUUAUGAGAGACAAAUACACGAUAGAAAGAACACUAAUUCAAGGUCAUGAGACCAUGUUUGAGAAAACUUGGAGUCAAACAAGUUCAGAAAAAAGAGAUGAUACGAGUUUUAAACAUAAGUAGAGAAAAUAUGCUUCGCAGGAACACGAACAGAGUUCAGUAAAGUGAACAAAAAUCAAAGAACUCAAACAUAAAUAUAUAUAGCAUAGAAUAUGGAAAACAACACGGAUAAACAUGCAAGGAAUAACAACAAAAAUAGAAGAACCUUGCAUAAUAGAAGAGAAACAAGAGAGAAAACUUAAGCAUAGUAGAAGAGAAAGCAUACGAGCAUAACAUAGGUAAAGACACAUGAAGACAGAACAGAAAGAUAUUUGAAGAAAAUUUUCAGAAACCCUAAAAUUGAGAUUGAACGAUUUUUGAAUAGGAAAUUUGGGGAAAACCUUAGAAAAGUCAAGUAAAGCCCUGACAUAUCAGAUAUCUAAGAAAAAUUAAGCGAGUACAGAACCUCAGCCAGCUUAGAGUUGCAGAGAAGACCCUAGAAAUGAGGAAGUUCUUGAGGAAAGUGAGAUCCUGAGUUAAAAAGACUCAUAUUGAUUGAACAUGUCGGAAAAUGGCUGGAAAAACCAUAGAUCUACAGAUUUGAAGGGAACCAUUAGAGUCAGGCUUCAAGUCAUUGAACAACUUAGGUUUAGUGGUGAGAGAGGGUGAGUAAAGGCCAUCCAUGGCCUGUAACGCUAUGGAUUCCGGUGGAAAUAUAGUAGAAUCAGGUAAGGUUCCGUAGGGGUUAGAGAGUGUUUGAGAGACGAAAGGGUUUCAAAGGCAGCUCUGAAAUAGAAUGAGAUAGGUUAAAAGAGUUUGGA